Molecule: long non-coding RNA, 1778 nt
Organism: Camelus dromedarius (Arabian camel)
Lineage: Eukaryota; Metazoa; Chordata; Mammalia; Artiodactyla; Camelidae
Exons: 4
Source: RefSeq, a predicted model, not a curated record
AUUCAGGAGUUGUAGCUUCCAGACUGAGAGGAUGCGUUUAUAUUGUUUCAAACUACCAGUUUGUGGUCAUUUGUUACGGUAGUUUUAAGAACUUGAUACACAUAGUAAGAAGAGAUCAUGGAAUCACCUCCAGGGUCCCCCGCAGAGGGAAGGGGUGGCCUCCAGGCGCCUGCACCCCAAGCGUCACUGGCCUCAAUCAGGGGCCGGGCCGGGGUCUCCAAAGUCGCCACAGAACAGGCGCGGGAGCGCCCAGAGGCCACGGUCUCGGGAAAAGUCUCCGCUUCGGCUCCAGUGGGCUGCGACCCGCAAGGUUGCACAGGAAGGAAAUAAAAGAUUUCGGCUGAGAUUACACUCGAAAACACCAGGGAGCCCGGCUUCCACGCGCGGCAUUACUCUUCUGCCCCGAAAACCAGGAGAUUCAAAAGGAAAAGAAGUCCGGCUGUCGGCGGUCGUCAGAGGCUGGGAAGCAGUGCUGCUCACUGUCACCGACUCCUGGCUGGGAGCCCAGGGGCAAGGAGUCUCGUCUGGUGCCUUCUGCAGCCGCAUCAAGGUGGCCGACUGGCAGCUCCAGAGCCUUCAGAACCUUCCAGAGACCACAGAACUUGACCAGGGUGCAGCAUGGUGGAUGGGGGCCCAGAGCAACCCAAGGACAGGAGGCCUCACAGGAGAACGGCUGCAGGCAGAGCCGCGCAGCAGGACUCAGACCUGACUGGGAGGCGAUGGCUUGCACAGUCCUCCUGCCCCCUGCUGGCCAUCCUGUCACUCGCCCCAUGGCCCCCUGGAGGCCAGACGCCUGGAUGCUGGAGCCUGCAACGGAGGGCCUAGGAGGAGGCCAGUGUCGGCACCACACGUGGAAGAUUCUGGAAACUCAACCCCUUGCUGGCCUCACAACAUACAGAGCCCCACACAGCCACCCUCCUUGUUGGCAGUCACCGCGGACCCUGAGGACAGCAGAGGCAGAUGGCCUGGGGGCUCCCGGCCUGCUCUGAGCUGGGGCCUUCCCUGACCUCUCUCACCUCGUGGCCCUCACCUGGACCAGUCAGCAGGCCCUGCUGCAAGACCGGCAAGAGUGCCUGGCUUAGUGCCUCCAGGGCAGGUCCUGAGAGCGGUGCUGGCCUGCCACUGGGGGGCGCUCGCUGGCUGGCAGCCCCACGGCCGCAUCACCGGGAAGCACCUGGAGACGGUCCUCAGCUUCAGCUUGGAGUUUCAAGCUUUCUUCUUUGGUGGAAGCUCAGAGAACUUAGCGACUGGGGGCUUGGCCCAGGAAGCACGGUGGAUUCACACGGCCCAGCUGUCACUCUGUCAUUACCUUCCUGAGUACUCCCAAGGUGAGCCGGGUUACAACCCUGGCCAACAGAGGCAGUGAGCACCUGGACAGGCUGGCUGGGGGUACACAAGUGCAGCGGAGAGAACGCUUGGGGGUGGCCCCAAACCUGCCCAGCCCUCGGCACCGCGGGUGCUCUCAGGACAGACUCCAGCCACCAGAGAGCAAGUGUCCGGAUGCCCUGGAAGCUCCGGGCUGGCGUUGCUCUGGGGGAACCAGUCCUUAGUCCCCACGCAGCUCCAGUUCCCAGAUGCCAGGCCAGUGACACGGUUCCAAAGUGUUCAAAACUUCAACACCUGUUAGGAUGGCUAUUAUCAAGAAAGCAGACAAUAACAGGCGAGGAUGUGGAGAGAUGGGAACCCGGUGCACUGUUGGAGAGAAUGUAAGACGGUGCAGCCACCGUGGAAAACAGUGUGAAGAUCCCUCAAAAGAUUAAACACAGAAUCACCGCUCA